UCUGGUUGAUCCCGCCGGACAUGACUGCUAUCGGAUUGAUACUAAGCCAUGCGAGUCAUUGUAUACAAGGCAGACGGCUCAGUAACGCGUAGUCAACGUAACCUAUGGACGGGAAUAACCUCGGGAAACUGAGAAUAAUGCCCGAUAGAACAUUAUACCUGGAAGGUUUAUGUUCCAAAUGAUUUAUCGCCGGGAUGGGACUGCGGCCUAUCAGUUUGUUGGUGAGGUAAUGGCCCACCAAGACUAUUACAGGUACGGGCUCUGAGAGGAGUAGCCCGGAGAUGGGUACUGAGACACGGACCCAGGCCCUAUGGGGCGCAGCAGGCGAGAAAACUUUGCAAUGUGCGAAAGCACGACAAGGUUAAUCCGAGUGGUUUUGCUAAACGAACUUUUGUCAGUCCUAGAAACACUAACGAAUAAGGGGUGGGCAAUUCUGGUGUCAGCCGCCGCGGUAAAACCAGCACCUCAAGUGGUCAGGAUGAUUAUUGGGCCUAAAGCAUCCGUAGCCGGCUCUGUAAGUUUUCGGUUAAAUCUGUACGCUUAACGUACAGGCUGCCGGGAAUACUGCAUAGCUAGGAAGUGGGAGAGGUAGACGGUACUCGGUAGGAAGGGGUAAAAUCCUUUGAUCUAUUGAUGACCACCUGUGGCGAAGGCGGUCUACCAGAACACGUUCGACGGUGAGGGAUGAAAGCUGGGGGAGCAAACCGGAUUAGAUACCCGGGUAGUCCCAGCUGUAAACUAUGCAAACUCAGUGAUGCAUUGGCUUGUGGCCAAUGCAGUGCUGCAGGGAAGCCGUUAAGUUUGCCGCCUGGGAAGUACGUACGCAAGUAUGAAACUUAAAGGAAUUGGCGGGGGAGCACCACAAGGGGUGAAGCCUGCGGUUCAAAUGGAGUCAACGCC
RNAcentral lists this ribosomal RNA (900 nucleotides) under uncultured archaeon. RNAcentral's name for it is "bacterial SSU rRNA". It matches the Rfam family "Archaeal small subunit ribosomal RNA", at positions 1 to 919 of the family's 1478-position model. The record is from RNAcentral.